GUUCGAUCCCUGGUACAGAAAGAAAGAAAAGAAAGAAAAAAAAAAUGAUUCCAUGCUACUACUUAAAACAUCCAGACUGGUUCUCUGUGGUCUAAAACUAAAUUCCAGGUCUCCUGGUGUGCUCUCCACCCUGCCUCCUCCAGUGAAGAGAAUGUUUGCUAACUGUAAGCCUCUGCGUGUGAGUCCUUCCACCUAGAAUAUCAGUCCAUCGCUUGUUCUUGCAGUGACCUCUUGAUCAUCCUUCAAACCCCCAACUCGGUUGUUAACCACCUUUGUGAAUUCUUUCCUGAGCCCUUGUGUGUUGGAAUCAUCUGCUUGCAUGCCUCGCUCCAAGCAGUUCACUUCUCUGAGAACAAUUUGUCCUAUUUUUGUGUCAACUGAUCUCCCACCGAUAGAAAUGAAGCCACAGUCCCACCUGUGAAGAGGACUUACAGCCCCUCAACUCCCUCCCUCCCUGCUGGGAGUCUUGGGGUUCCCAGCAUGUCCUUCUCAUGUGUCCUACCCUGUACUCUGCUGCCCUGAGGCUGCCCUUUGGACACCCAAGGCUGUUCAGUUAAUCACCUCAGUGAUUUCCUGACCAUGUUCUUUUCCUUGAAUCCUCCAGGGCAAGUCUGUGAGGUGGGAAAAUGACAUUCUCUCCUUCAUUCUUACACUGGCUCUGGAUGGCAGUUGGUCCCCUGGGCACUGAACCCACUGGGCCGUUUCUCCCUGUGUUACAAUCUCAUAAAAACCCUCCUUAACUGCUUUGGCUUCUGUGUGAAUUCCCCUUCCUCUUUAGGCCCUAGUCCUGGCCCAGGACAGAGAGAGAAUGAGGUCCUGUGAGGUCCACACUGGUCCUGACGCUUGGAGACCACUUCGGAUACAGACGUGCUCAGGGUUGUUGAAGGAUGAGUGCAUGAAUGAAUCUCAGGCAAGGGCCAGCUUCUCUGGGUGCAGCCUCCCUCACUGCUAAGGUAGAAUAACAGCCCAAUACACAGGGUGACUGUGAGCAUCAGCCUGGCACACUGGACAGGAUCUAGGACAUUAAUAAGUGCCUGGCAAAUUCCAGUUUGAAUGGCAAUCAAAGAAAUACAUACUUGAAUUAAAACAAAAAAAGAAGCCAGAGAGGAAAAUUCUUCAGAGGGAAUGGAAACCACAUUAACAGCAUGGAAUUAAAAUUAAAGAUGUGUGAUGCUCUAUGAUGUUUGUAAGAACACAAAAUUAUUUUAAAUUUCCAGCUUUAAUUUCCAGUGUAUGGUUUCAACUGCAUUGCAGCCCUUACAUUGCUGGGGAUUAGUCUCCCCAGAGGAUGAGCUAGUGGCAGGGAGAAUCAAACAGCUGCUGCAGGAGAAGCGAAAUGAAGGGAGCAUGGAGGAGGGGCUGGAAGAAUGAUCUGAAAAAGGAUUAGAAGGAUGCCUGAGUGGGCAAAGGACUUUCUAAUGCGUUCUAUUUGAUUUGCUUGGUGAUGCACACGGCAUUUCCAAUUGGCUGCAUCGCCAGUGAGAUGCCCAACUCACCUCCCCACCUUACGCCCCCACCUCCUAUUCUGAGCUUCAGUCCGUCCUAACCCACAUGAGGGCUGGGAAUGAGGUAAGUCUGUUGUCCUCAUCACUUGAUAACAAGGAAUUUUCCCUAAGCCUGGGGCUGUUGUGAGCACUUCACGUUUGCCAUUCCAUGCAGUAUGUACUGUUGUCCUCCCCUUUCAGGGAACGAGGCAAGAGAGGUAAAAAAGUAACUGGCAGAGAUCACACAGCCAGCCGCAGAGACGGGACCCAAUCCUGGGUACUAGGAGUCUACAGGCCCACCGUCUUAACCACACUGCUACACCACCUGCCAAUCACGGCGCACUAAAGUUCUCUUGUGUUGAUGGAUGCAUCAGAAUGACACUGCAUGAAAACUGCGAAUCAGAAGGCCAUGGAGCCCCCCAGUGUUUCCGUCUACAGGAAUGUACAAAGGUUCUGCAAAACAGAUUUAAGACUAGCCAAGGUCCAUGUCCAAUCAGCCGUUGCAGAUGGGGUCAUCAAGGACAGGAAACUGCUGCUCGGGAAGAGAUGCUGAGAAACUUCUGAUCUUUGCCCUUCAUUUCUGGCUUCAGGGGGAAAGCUGACAGGUACAAUGAAGAUAAAUUCACUGCGGAGGAAAGGAAAAAAGUACUUCAGAUGCAGGACUCUGCUGUUCUAAGUAAACAGUGAUUCAGUGGCUUUCUUAUGAGGGGUGAUCGAUAAAUAGGGUGAAUGUUUAAAUUUUUUUUUUUUUUUAAACUCAUUACAGUAAAAGACACAUUGCCAAGAAUCAUGGGAUAAGUGAGUUUGAAGUGAGA
Molecule: long non-coding RNA, 2299 nt
Organism: Heterocephalus glaber (naked mole-rat)
Lineage: Eukaryota; Metazoa; Chordata; Mammalia; Rodentia; Bathyergidae
Source: Ensembl